Molecule: small RNA, 161 nt
Filed under: Chrysemys picta bellii (western painted turtle)
Lineage: Eukaryota; Metazoa; Chordata; Testudines; Emydidae
Description: TUC338 (ENSCPBG00000026135.1)
Source: RNAcentral
GUGAGAGCUCUGGAGACUGAAAUCCUCUAUUAAUCUACAGACCAGGUACAACACUGGCCAUGGUGUAAGUUUUCCUACACUGCCUCAAUUAUGACCUGAAAGGAUCAGCUCUCAGGGGGAGGGGAUGGUUCACUCUAUAGUCUUUUCAUGCCUUUGUCUCC